UGGCCUAUGGUGUAAUUGGCAGCACGACGGAUUCUGGUUCCGUUAGUCUUGGUUCGAGUCCAGGUAGGCCAG
RNAcentral lists this transfer RNA (72 nucleotides) under Streptomyces thermoviolaceus. Its description in RNAcentral is "tRNA-Gln". It matches the Rfam family "tRNA". From Rfam's summary of the family: Transfer RNA (tRNA) molecules are approximately 80 nucleotides in length. Their secondary structure includes four short double-helical elements and three loops (D, anti-codon, and T loops). Further hydrogen bonds mediate the characteristic L-shaped molecular structure. tRNAs have two regions of fundamental functional importance: the anti-codon, which is responsible for specific mRNA codon recognition, and the 3' end, to which the tRNAs corresponding amino acid is attached (by aminoacyl-tRNA synthetases). tRNAs cope with the degeneracy of the genetic code in two manners: having more than one tRNA (with a specific anti-codon) for a particular amino acid; and 'wobble' base-pairing, i.e. permitting non-standard base-pairing at the 3rd anti-codon position. The record is from RNAcentral. Lineage: Bacteria; Bacillati; Actinomycetota; Actinomycetes; Kitasatosporales; Streptomycetaceae. RNAcentral also lists the same sequence under 11 other names.